RNAcentral lists this ribosomal RNA (176 nucleotides) under uncultured archaeon. RNAcentral describes it as "partial 16S ribosomal RNA". It matches the Rfam family "Archaeal small subunit ribosomal RNA", at positions 339 to 516 of the family's 1478-position model. The record is from RNAcentral.
UCGCGAAAACUUUGCAAUAAGCGAAAGCUUGACAGGGCUAUCCCGAGUGCCAUCCGCUGAGGAAGGCUUUUACCCAGUCUAGUAAGCUGGGGGAAUAAGGAGAGGGCAAGUCUGGUGUCAGCCGCCGCGGUAAUACCAGCUCUCCGAGUGGUGUGGAUGUUUAUUGGGCCUAAAGC